Molecule: small RNA, 78 nt
Filed under: Klebsiella pneumoniae
Lineage: Bacteria; Pseudomonadati; Pseudomonadota; Gammaproteobacteria; Enterobacterales; Enterobacteriaceae
Description: partial RtT sRNA
Rfam family: RtT RNA
About the family: This family represents a bacterial cis-regulatory element known as RtT RNA. The exact function of RtT is unknown although it is thought that it may be involved in changing the cellular response in relation to amino acid starvation.
Source: RNAcentral
UAUUCUGCCCUACAGGGAAGGAUGAGAAGCUUCGACUAAGGUUCGACUCGAGCGAAGCGAGAGAACGUUGCCGCAGGC